GAGGGUAUAGCUCAAGUGGUAGAGUGAAUGUUUAUCAUGAACAAGGUCCUGGGUUUGAGCCCCAGUACCUCCU
This 73-nucleotide transfer RNA is filed under the name Camelus bactrianus (Bactrian camel). It matches the Rfam family "tRNA". Rfam says of the family: Transfer RNA (tRNA) molecules are approximately 80 nucleotides in length. Their secondary structure includes four short double-helical elements and three loops (D, anti-codon, and T loops). Lineage: Eukaryota; Metazoa; Chordata; Mammalia; Artiodactyla; Camelidae. RNAcentral also lists the same sequence under 1 other name. The record is from Rfam by way of RNAcentral.